GCGGCUUUAGCUCAGAUGGGAGAGCGCCAGAAUGAAGUCAACUUUAGAUAUUGACAUCUGGAAGCCCUGUGUUCGAUCCACAGAAGCCGCA
Mollisia scopiformis is the source of this 91-nucleotide non-coding RNA. The record is from the annotation of a RefSeq genome assembly. NCBI's taxonomy places the organism in Eukaryota, Fungi, Ascomycota, Leotiomycetes, Helotiales, Mollisiaceae.